GCCCCAGGCUCACGUGCCUCGCUUCGUCCUGCAGCUUUCUAGCCUUUUGGGAGAAAGGGAGGGGUGAGCGUGAGCGGGCUGCGGUCCAGACGCACGGACCGGCGCACAGGACAGCAGCACUCUGGCCCCAGAGCCGGAGCCCGCCUUCCCCGAGGGGCCUACUCGUCCCGGGACUUCUGAGCAGCGGGGCCGGCUGAGCGCACCUCUGUCCUUCGGAGGACAACGGUCUCUUUGGUCAGCCGUGAGCUGCUCCUCCCGGGGUCCCGUCAGGGCCCUGCCUGGCCCCUUGGCCGGCAGCUGCUGGAGUAAGCGCCCGGUGACGGAGGGAUAGAGGCUCUCCUGCGCGCACGGCCGGGGUCGGCCCCCUCCCUGCCCACGAUCCCCCUCCCGAUCACGCCUGACCCGGGAGGGCAGGGCUGCAACUGCCCCCUCGCCCUACAGACACAGCCACAGGACCCGGGGUCCCUGACCGCUGAGGGAGAUCCCACGUUCCUCGCCAGUCCACUGGGCCCUUGGGGGGACGGAGUGGCCAGCAUGGAGGAGCAGGUCUUCCCUGCCUCUGCCCUGAGAGACGCUGGCCCGUGGGAACCUGUGUUUGCUGCACUGUGCCUGUCCCAUCCCCCAAGGAGGGACCCGUCCUCCGAGCUCCCCCAUGUUCCUCUGUUCGGCCUCCCUGGGGUGUGACCUGGACGCCGCCUGCAGCCCAGCACCGGAGGUCCCCGUGCAUAGAGCCGUCACAGCCGGGGACAUUCAGGCAAUGUCACGAAGACUAGGAUAGCUCUCACCCAGCCCUGCACAGCCCCAAAUCCGCCGGUAACUCUUCAUUCCCCCAAACUUCUCGAAGAGCCCACUACUGGCCAGAGCCCCGGUCCACUAGUACAUGCUGUGUGCGCCAUGUGGGUUCUCCCGGGAACGAUGACCCUUACUGCGCCCCCAGAGGUCACACGCCUUGCGAGGGGGCACCGGGCUUGCCCCCGGGGCGACUGUAGCUGCUGCCCAUCCAGCAGUGUCCACCGCAGACCGCUUCUUCCCCGUAGAAAUCGGCGUUGUCUGUGGGUUAAGAACUGCUCCUUCGGAAGGCUUCCCCUGUCUCUGACACACCCGUGACGCCGUCCGCAAUGUCCUCUGCCCUUGGCUGGGGGCUCAGCCUCCUCUGCCUGCCCAGGAGACACCCUGCAGGCUCCUCGCCGCACUCCGGCCUGGUGACCUGCAUAGCGGGUGGCCUGGGGGCUCCCAGGCGCUCUCUUGGUCAGCGUCUUUUGUUCUGGAAUAUCUACUCCUCUUUCCUGCUCUGCUGCCUUGUUUGGAGAAACGCGUUCUGCGGUGGCUUCCCAAGGAAAGCUGUGUGGAAAGUGCUGUGUCUGCGACCCCGCCCGCGAAUGCCCCGGUCCUCUGCGGGCGCCUGGCCUGGGGACUGGAGCACAGCACUCCCCCGCCCCCCGGGGAGGAGUCCACUCCGUCUCCUCUCCCCCGGCCCUUCCCGUGCGCCCUUCCAGCCAUCUCAGGUCUCGGUUUCAGAUCAGAAAACAGAGGCUUCCUUCCUGUAGAGCCGUCUUCAUGGCCCACCCGCCGGGACACUGGUCACGAUCCAGGAACCGACAGGGUGUGUCGUCGCCUGGGUUCCGCAGUGCCCGCCAGGGCUCACUGUUGUGUUGGACAGGGGCAGGUGUCCGUCACUGCGCGGUCACAGCGGCUCCGCUGCCCCGAGCGCCCUGCCCCUCCCUCCCGGCAACCACCGGUCCUGUGUCUGCGGAGUUGGGCCUCUUCCAGAACGUCAUACAGCCGUCCCCCUUCUCCGCUUGGCUCUCUCACCUGGCUCUCUCACGUGCAUUUGUGGUUCCCUCAGGUCUUUCUAGGGCAGGGUAGCUCAUUCCUUUUUAACACCAGAUGAUAUUCCGUGGGACCCGUAGGCCGGGCGUCUCGGCUGUUCCUGGUGACGGAGUAAAGCUGCCGCAGACACCCGUGAGCAGCUUUAGCGGGGACCGAAGUUUUCAGCUCUUCAGGUAACUGCCAAGGAGCACAGCUGCUGAGUCUCCAGGUAAGAGCACACUUGACUGUAACAAGUUACCACACUGUCGGACCCAGUGCUGGCACGUGGGACUCCCGCGUCCCCACCAGUGGUGAAGGAGAACUCCGGCUGCUCGUGCCCUCACCGGCCUCUGGCGGGUCAGUGACUAGGGUCAGAGCCGUCCGCACGCAUGUGAGUGUUCACGGGCAGUCCCCUAAUGACGUACACCAGCGGCAUCUUUUCCAGCACUUCAUGCCUCUGCAUCUUUUCUGGUGAGGCGUCUGCUCAGACCGGAUGCUUGAGCUCUGUUUUCUUUCUACAGUCUGGGUAGCAGCCCUUUAUCCAGUGGUGUGUUUUACAAGUAUUUUCUCCAAGUUUCUGUCUUGUCUUGUUCUUUUCACAGCAUCUUUCAUGGAGAAAACAUUUUAUAUUUUAAAAGAAGUCAAGUUACCAAUUUUUUGUGCAAUACCUUUGGUGGUGUUCUAUGUAAAAACUCCCUGCCAGCCCGAGGUCACCUGCCCUUUCUCCUGUUGUACUUCCCAGUGUUGCCGUUUCACGUCUUACAUUUCGGCCUGUGAUGCGCGCCGGGUCAGCUUCCGUGAAGGUGCGCGGUCUGGCUCUCGACUCCCCAUCUCGCACGUGUCCCAGCACCAUCUGCUGAAGACGCCGCCGUCGCUCCGUCCCGCGUCCGUCACUGUCGUCCCUGGGUCUGUUUCUCUGAUCCACUGGCCCGUCUGUCUACUUCUUCACCCACGCCACACCGUCCUCAUUACCGCACUUCGCAGGGAGCCUUGAGGCCGGGCAACGCCAGUCUCCGAGCUUGUGCCUCCCCUUCAGGGUCCGUGAGAUUGAGCCCGUGUGUCCUCUCCAUCCGAACGUCAGCAUCGGGCGUCGACAGCCGCGGCACAGCUUGCUGGGAUCCUGCCUGGGACGGUGCGGAAUCUCGGGUCUCCCCAUCCAUGAACAUGGGAUUCCUCUCCACUCACUUGGCUCUUUGAUUUUGGCAUCAGAGAUUUAUUUUUCUCAGAUGGAUCCUGACAUAUUUUGUUAGAUUUGUAUCUAGCACCAGGUUCUUAAAUUGAAAUCCCACUCAGUUGCGGAUGUACUGCUAGGACUUCCCACAUGAUGCUGGAGAGAUGUUCAGAAGCGACGUCCCUGCCUUGUUCCUGACCUUCAGGAGAAAGGGUGGUUCUAGUUUCUCACCACGAAGGAUGACGUUCACUGUAGCUACAGAGAUCACAAGUAGGCAGAGAGGCAG
Long non-coding RNA from Neogale vison (American mink), 3266 nucleotides. RefSeq lists it as uncharacterized. The transcript has 3 exons. The record is from RefSeq and is a predicted model, not a curated record. Lineage: Eukaryota; Metazoa; Chordata; Mammalia; Carnivora; Mustelidae.